GACGAACGCUGGCGGCGUGCUUAACACAUGCAAGUCGAACGGAAAGGCCCUGCUGUUGUGGGGUGCUCGAGUGGCGAACGGGUGAGUAACACGUGAGUAACCUGCCCUUGACUUUGGGAUAACUUCAGGAAACUGGGGCUAAUACCGGAUAGGAGCUCCUGCUGCAUGGUGGGGGUUGGAAAGUUUCGGCGGUUGGGGAUGGACUCGCGGAUUAUCAGCUUGUGGGUGGGGUAGUGGUUUACCCAGGCUUUGACGGGUAGCCGGCCUGAGAGGGUGACCAGGCACAUGGGGACUGAGAGACGCACCAGAGUGGUACAGUGCGCAGCAGUGGGGAGUAUUGCGCAAUGGGCGGAAGCCUAAGGCAGCAGCCCCCCGUGCGUGAUGACCGCCUUCGGGGUGUAAACCGAUUUCGCUUAUUACGAAGGGUGAUUGACGGUAAUGGGUAAAGAAGCACCGGCUAACUACGUG
Molecule: ribosomal RNA, 468 nt
Filed under: uncultured bacterium
Lineage: Bacteria
Description: partial 16S ribosomal RNA
Rfam family: Bacterial small subunit ribosomal RNA
Source: RNAcentral